GACGAACGCUGGCGGCGUGCCUAAUACAUGCAAGUAGAACGCACAGUUUAUACCGUAGCUUGCUACACCAUAGACUGUGAGUUGCGAACGGGUGAGUAACGCGUAGGUAACCUGCCUGGUAGCGGGGGAUAACUAUUGGAAACGAUAGCUAAUACCGCAUAAUAUUAAUUAUUGCAUGAUAAUUAAUUGAAAGGUGCAAUUGCACCACUACCAGAUGGACCUGCGUUGUAUUAGCUAGUAGGUGAGGUAACGGCUCACCUAGGCGACGAUACAUAGCCGACCUGAGAGGGUGAUCGGCCACACUGGGACUGAGACACGGCCCAGACUCCUACGGGAGGCAGCAGUAGGGAAUCUUGGGCAAUGGACGAAAGUCUGACCGAGCAACGCCGCGUGAGUGAAGAAGGUUGUCGGAUCGUAAAGCUCUGUUGUAAGAGAAGAACGGGGGUGAGAGUGGAAAGUUCACACUGUGACGGUAUCUUACCAGAAAGGGACGGCUAACUACGUG
Molecule: ribosomal RNA, 505 nt
Filed under: uncultured bacterium
Lineage: Bacteria
Description: partial 16S ribosomal RNA
Rfam family: Bacterial small subunit ribosomal RNA
Source: RNAcentral